AUUGAACGCUGGCGGCAUGCCUUACACAUGCAAGUCGAACGGUAACGGGCCUUCGGGUGCCGACGAGUGGCGAACGGGUGAGUAAUACAUCGGAACGUGCCCGAUCGUGGGGGAUAACGAGGCGAAAGCUUUGCUAAUACCGCAUACGAUCUACGGAUGAAAGCAGGGGACCGCAAGGCCUUGCGCGGACGGAGCGGCCGAUGGCAGAUUAGGUAGUUGGUGGGAUAAAAGCUUACCAAGCCGACGAUCUGUAGCUGGUCUGAGAGGAUGAUCAGCCACACUGGGACUGAGACACGGCCCAGACUCCUACGGGAGGCAGCAGUGGGGAAUUUUGGACAAUGGGCGCAAGCCUGAUCCAGCCAUGCCGCGUGCAGGAUGAAGGCCUUCGGGUUGUAAACUGCUUUUGUACGGAACGAAAAGCCUUCUUAUAAUACAGGAGGGUCAUGACGGUACCGUAAGAAUAAGCACCGGCUAACUACGUG
Molecule: ribosomal RNA, 482 nt
Filed under: uncultured bacterium
Lineage: Bacteria
Description: partial 16S ribosomal RNA
Rfam family: Bacterial small subunit ribosomal RNA
Source: RNAcentral